GAUGAACGCUGGCGGCGUGCCUAAUACAUGCAAGUCGAGCGAACGGACGAGAAGCUUGCUUCUCUGAUGUUAGCGGCGGACGGGUGAGUAACACGUGGAUAACCUACCUAUAAGACUGGGAUAACUUCGGGAAACCGGAGCUAAUACCGGAUAAUAUUUUGAACCGCAUGGUUCAAAAGUGAAAGACGGUCUUGCUGUCACUUAUAGAUGGAUCCGCGCUGCAUUAGCUAGUUGGUAAGGUAACGGCUUACCAAGGCAACGAUGCAUAGCCGACCUGAGAGGGUGAUCGGCCAACCUGGAACGGAGACACGGUCAAGAUCCCUAGGGGAGGAAGCAGUGGGAAAUCUUCUGCAAUGGGCGAAGGCCGAACGGGGCAACGCGGCGUGAGUAAGGAAGGUCUUCGAAUGGUAAACCUCUGUAUUAGGGAAGAACAUAUGUGUAAGUAACUGUGCACAUCUUGACGGUACCUAAUCAGAAAGCCACGGCUAACUACGUG
This 496-nucleotide ribosomal RNA is filed under the name uncultured bacterium. RNAcentral describes it as "partial 16S ribosomal RNA". It matches the Rfam family "Bacterial small subunit ribosomal RNA", at positions 28 to 507 of the family's 1533-position model. The record is from RNAcentral.